Molecule: ribosomal RNA, 430 nt
Filed under: Dysdera sp. MA
Lineage: Eukaryota; Metazoa; Arthropoda; Arachnida; Araneae; Dysderidae
Description: partial 16S ribosomal RNA
Rfam family: Bacterial large subunit ribosomal RNA
Source: RNAcentral
AGCUUUACGCUUAAAUCACCUAAAGUAUAUCCUGCUCAGUGACAUAAACAGCCGCAGAAUUUUAUACUGUGCUAAGGUAGCAUAAUCACUCGUCUUCUAAUUAAAGAAUAGAAUGAACGGAAAAACGAAUUCUAGACUAUUUCAUUUUUUUACAAUAAAAUUAUACAAAAGUAAAAAUUCUUUUAAUCUCAAAAAAGACGACAAGACCCUCAAGAACUUAACUAUAGUUAAGCUGGGGCGGCCUUUUAAAAAAAUCUUAUCAAAUAAAACAUCAACCCUAUCUUUAUUUCAAAGUUACCUUAGGGAUAACAGCAUAAUUUAAUUUUACAGCUCAUAUUAAAAAUUAAGAUUAUGACCUCGAUGUUGAAUUAAAAAUCCUUUAAAAGAAAAUUUUUAAUAUGAAAGUCUGUUCGACUUUUAAACAUUUACA